CAGCUAGCUGGUGGGGUAAGAGCUCACCAGGGCGACGAUCGGUAACUGGUCUGAGAGGACGAUCAGCCACACUGGGAUUGAGAACGGCCCAGACUCCUACGGGGGGCAGCAGUGAGGAAUUUUCGUCAAUGGGGGCAACCCUGAACGAGCAACGCCGCGUGCAGGAAGAAGGUUUUCGGAUCGUAAACUGCUUUUCUCGGGGACGAGUACGGACGGUACCCGAGGAAUCAGCCCCGGCUAACUACGUGCCAGCGGCCGCGGUAAUACGUAGGGGGCGAGCGUUGUCCGGAGUUACUGGGCGUAAAGCGCACGCAGGCGGUUCUUUCAGUUCAACGUGACAGUCGUCGGCUCAACUGACGAAGGACGGGGAAGACGGGAGAACUUGAGGGCUUCAGAGGGACACGGAAUUCCGGGUGGAGUGGUGAAAUGCGUAGAUAUCCGGAGGAACACCAACAGCGAAGGCAGUGUCCUGGGAAGUCGCUGACGCUCAGGUGCGAAAGCCAGGGGAGCGAACGGGAUUAGAUACCCCGGUAGUCCUGGCCGUAAACGAUGACCACCAGGCGUGGGGGGUAUCGACCCCCUCCGUGCCGGAGCUAACGCGGUAAGUGGUCCGCCUGGGGAGUAC
RNAcentral lists this ribosomal RNA (625 nucleotides) under uncultured bacterium. RNAcentral describes it as "SSU rRNA". It matches the Rfam family "Bacterial small subunit ribosomal RNA", at positions 242 to 883 of the family's 1533-position model. The record is from RNAcentral.